This 851-nucleotide long non-coding RNA is filed under the name Gossypium raimondii (Peruvian cotton). Its description in RNAcentral is "long non-coding RNA (GRAI_LNC004962)". The record is from RNAcentral. Lineage: Eukaryota; Viridiplantae; Streptophyta; Magnoliopsida; Malvales; Malvaceae.
UCAAGCCUGAACAAUUUCACCCAAUUACACCCUAAUCUUUCUAUAUGGGGAUAAGAUGGAAACUUAGACUGGUGAAGAGGGACCCAAAAUAACACUCAAGAAUGGUAAAUCUAGACCUUAAUGGAUUUCUCAAAAAGGAACUCACUCCCUUCCCUUCACUGUAAAUGAUCUUAGGUUCCCACAACAAUGUGUAGAAUAAGGCUUUAUAAUAAAACCAAAAUUUAUGCCAUUUGAAUUUGAUACGCCAUUAACAUGCCUCUGCCACAAACAAAACUUAAAAUGGUAUUUGCAUUGUUCUUUUGCAGAGCUGAGGUUGAAGGCCAACAAUAAUACCAACUUUUGGGGUUUGAAUGCAAAAUUCUGCACCUACCGAAGAAGUGUUUUAUAAAUAAAUAUAUUCUAUGACAAACCAGAAAACUUCUGCCAGCACAAUCAAUGACUUAAGCCAACUCCUCCUGGAUUUGACCUUCUGCAAGGUUUAGAAAUAUCUCAUAAACAUCCAACAUUUAAUUGAUUAUGAUAAAUACCAAAAUGGUUAAAGCCAAACCUCACCAGCAAGUUUGACACCAAGUUGGCUUCAGCAUCAGCCUCGCCAUUCAGUUCGUGAGCAAGAAAUGUUGAAACUUUGCAAUGCAAUAAAAAGACUAAAGGGGGAGCAAAAGAUGUUAUUCAGGAGAAUGCAUUUCUGGAGCAAUCGAUUGACUAAAUUAGAAUACACUGAAACAGUAAAAUAACAUUAUUGCAAAAGCUGGUCUGACUUGACAACUAUCGGUAAGGCUGAUCAAAACUGAUGUUUUAACACUGCAAAUUAUUUACAAGGUCGCCUAUCCAGGAGAAAUACAAAUCAUCAG